This 253-nucleotide ribosomal RNA is filed under the name uncultured bacterium. Its description in RNAcentral is "partial 16S ribosomal RNA". It matches the Rfam family "Bacterial small subunit ribosomal RNA", at positions 524 to 776 of the family's 1533-position model. The record is from RNAcentral.
UACGAAGGGGGCUAGCGUUAUUCGGAAUUAUUGGGAGUAAAGGGCGCGUAGGCGGCCUGGCAAGUGGAUGGUGAAAUCCCUCGGCUUAACCGAGGAACUGCCAUCCAGACUGCUUGGCUUGAGACCGGGAGAGGUGAGUGGAAUUCCCAGUGUAGCGGUGAAAUGCGUAGAUAUUGGGAGGAACACCAGUGGCGAAGGCGGCUCACUGGACCGGUACUGACGCUGAGGCGCGAAAGCGUGGGGAGCAAACGGG